Molecule: long non-coding RNA, 840 nt
Organism: Strongylocentrotus purpuratus (purple sea urchin)
Lineage: Eukaryota; Metazoa; Echinodermata; Echinoidea; Camarodonta; Strongylocentrotidae
Exons: 4
Source: RefSeq, a predicted model, not a curated record
GGUACGUAGCUGCAACCUGUUCUGCUUCCCUGAUGAGUGGCUCACUGUCUGGGCACAGCUGCCUCAUCGUAUCAGCUACUCUUGUGAUUCUUGGAGAAGUUGGAGUGGUUGAGAAGCAGCUUCCUCAGGAUACAGGAGAAUGAAGCAUGAUAGCUGCUCCAUCAAAUCCUUGCGCUCCUCUUCCUUCUCUGCCAGCCUAGCCUCCAGUCUAUGUCGCUCCACCAUGUACACCAUGUUCUUUGACAGGUUGACUGGGUUGUCCUGUGGAGCAAGGAUUUUAGAUACUGGUAGCCUCUGACUGCACGAUACUAUCAAUCAUUAUUUUCAAAUAUAUAAGCUAAGGCGAAGCAUUGACCUCAUGGUGAGCAUGUCAACAUCCUUGAUCUUGAUAGAAGAUGGGUCAUCCAAAGCCCCUGCCCUGUGAGCCAUGGUGACCUCAUGCUGGAACUGGACAGCUGACCCCUCUGAGAUGUCAUCCCUGAUGCUGGCGAGUUGAAGGCUCCUUCUCCGCUUUGUAGCUGGAGUGCUGUCUGCUGAACUUUUUUGGGGCUUCGUGAUUAGUUUUGUAACCAGAGGCUUUUCAUAUGUGAAGAAAGGCAGGAAAUUAAGUUGAGAUGGUCAUCUUAAAAUUAUAGUAUAACGUUUUUAUCCAUCAUGAAAACUGGGUCAUGAUCUCUAGAACACAAUGUGUCAGAAGGGAUAUUCCGCAUGGCACAACAAAAAUGAAAUGAAAUUAUUUAAAUGUUGACAAAGAUCAGCUUAUGGUAUGUUUGUUUUUUCUUCAUGAUAUCAACUAAAUUACAGCAAGACUUGAUUAAAAUGAAAUAUUAUUGAAUAUAA